AGUGGGAUAGCUGGGUCAAAUGGUGGUUCCAUUUCCAAUUUUCUAAGGAAUCUUCAUACCAUUUUCCAGAUUGGCUGCACUAAUUUGCAGUCCCACCAGCAGU
Molecule: microRNA precursor, 103 nt
Filed under: Marmota monax (woodchuck)
Lineage: Eukaryota; Metazoa; Chordata; Mammalia; Rodentia; Sciuridae
Source: RNAcentral